Molecule: long non-coding RNA, 375 nt
Organism: Eupeodes corollae
Lineage: Eukaryota; Metazoa; Arthropoda; Insecta; Diptera; Syrphidae
Exons: 2
Source: RefSeq, a predicted model, not a curated record
ACCAUCAUUUUUUUAAAUAACAAAUCCAACAACCAACAGACAAUAAAAGUGUUUUUCAAGACUGAUAAGGACUUAAAACAUUUUCAGUCACAAAAUGAAAUCAGUAUUAAUCGGUUGCUUGAUACUUUCCCUUAUCAUUGCGUUGUUCGUGGGACAGUGUGAAGUGGGUGCAACCAAAAACCGCUCAUUGAAAAAGUUUAAUCGUACUAUUGGAGCUAGGACUAUUUUGUUUGUACCAUCAAGAUGUAGAGUUGAUAAUAAAGGCCGAUGUCGUCAGAAGCUCAAGUUACAUUGAGAGUAAAUACAUACAAAUACGUUGUGACAGAGACUUAAGAAUUGAUGGAUUAAUUACAUAAAUAAAUAUACUUUUUUAUU